AAAACGACUCUCGGCAACGGAUAUCUCGGCUCUCGCAUCGAUGAAGAACGUAGCGAAAUGCGAUACUUGGUGUGAAUUGCAGAAUCCCGUGAACCAUCGAGUCUUUGAACGCAAGUUGCGCCCCAAGCCUUCUCUGGCCGAGGGCACGCCUGCCGGGUGUCACAA
Molecule: ribosomal RNA, 165 nt
Filed under: Arabidopsis thaliana (thale cress)
Lineage: Eukaryota; Viridiplantae; Streptophyta; Magnoliopsida; Brassicales; Brassicaceae
Description: 5.8S ribosomal RNA
Rfam family: 5.8S ribosomal RNA
About the family: 5.8S ribosomal RNA (5.8S rRNA) is a component of the large subunit of the eukaryotic ribosome. It is transcribed by RNA polymerase I as part of the 45S precursor that also contains 18S and 28S rRNA. Functionally, it is thought that 5.8S rRNA may be involved in ribosome translocation.
Source: RNAcentral